RNAcentral lists this ribosomal RNA (228 nucleotides) under uncultured bacterium. RNAcentral's name for it is "partial 16S ribosomal RNA". It matches the Rfam family "Bacterial small subunit ribosomal RNA", at positions 103 to 334 of the family's 1533-position model. The record is from RNAcentral.
CGGGUGAGUAAUGCUUGGGAAUCUAGCUUAUGGAGGGGGAUAACUACGGGAAACUGUAGCUAAUACCGCGUAGUAUCGAGAGAUGAAAGUGUGGGACCUUCGGGCCACACGCCAUAGGAUGAGCCCAAGUGGGAUUAGGUAGUUGGUGAGGUAAAGGCUCACCAAGCCGACGAUCUCUAGCUGGUCUGAGAGGAUGACCAGCCACACUGGGACUGAGACACGGCCCAG